GGUCCAGGAGAACACAGAGUCACACAGUUUUUCAUCUCUCUUUUCACGGUCUCCACAGACAGACUGAAGAUGUCUGGAGUUUUCACCACUGUUAAUGUUUUUCCUCUCCACUCUCCAUUGGCCACCACACAGCGUUUGACUGAGGAAAAUAUCUGAUUUCAGUGGCGUCUACUCACCAGAUUUCAGUGGCGUCUACUCACCAGGUGAGAUCCUCUCUGCUGCCGAGCACGUCGGUGAAACUCCAAACUGAAGUCAGACUCUCCUUAAACAACCUUUCCUUUCUGAGCGGGUGGGACUCUGGACUCGGUACUCUUAGUACAGAACUUUAUAUCUUAACAACUGAAUUGU
This is a long non-coding RNA of Dicentrarchus labrax (European seabass), 348 nucleotides long. RefSeq lists it as uncharacterized. NCBI's taxonomy places the organism in Eukaryota, Metazoa, Chordata, Actinopteri, Moronidae. The transcript has 3 exons. The record is from RefSeq and is a predicted model, not a curated record.